AAGAAAAGUAAAUCAGUCCUUCCUCUUUCUCUUCUACUUGGUCACUAAUUGCAGUCGGUUCUGAGCCGCUGCCUCUUUUUCCACGCAUCAGGGGUGUUAGCGGAAUAUUUGGAGUGAAAUGUUGACGCAGUCAACAUAAGGGGAGCUAAAUAUAAAAUGGCUGCUGUUAUGCUAAUGGAUGCCACUGAAUAAUUCAAGCAUGGAUGAUAAUAAAAAUGGAAAAACAGGGGACCUGUCGAGCUACACCACCGCAUGUGUCACGACAGGGCACUAAUUUGCUGUCAAGCCCGAUACAACCCCCCUUCGACACCCCCUCCCUCAACCUGUGCACCCCCAUCUUCUCUUACAUUUCAGCUGUGAGGAUUAGUAAAUAUUUUGUCUUUCCCUGAACAUCUUUAGGGAGAGGAGGGAGCUGGUUAAGCGAGAACUUGAAAUUCGGGGAAUUAUAUUGAAAGAAGGUUAGCCGCGUCGCUCCGUGUUCUCUGUCAUGUACUCUCAGGAGAGGCUGAGGCCAGGCGGGAAAGAACAAGCUUGCGUCCUCGCUGCACCCUGCAGGCCUUCAGGGCCAACACACCAAGGUGAAGGCCACAUCAAAAGGAAGAUGAAAAGAGAGAUACAAGAGAAGGUCCCCAAAUUGGGGAAAUACUCUCUUUCUUUUCUCUCCUCUUGCCAUGACUGUGCAGCCCCUCGUCUGUCACCAAAACCCGUUUUUUCACGGUUGAUUCUCAACUUUUGCUUUCUUACCUUUCCUCUGCUGAAUCUGUGCAUUCCUGCAAAAAUCAUCCACUCCUGAGUCCCCUUUCAAAAAUGUUCACGUGAGGUUAAUGCACAUCAAUCAACCACGCACGUUCACACGUGAAAAACAGAAAAAUGAAAUGCAGCCACAGACAGUUCAUCACUGGAAGUAUUCUUGUGUACAUUAAUUAUUAGGGAUGGGGCUAUUUUUUAAACCUUACUAUAUUUACAGCCUUAUCACUGACCUGCUGAGACCUAAUCUCAAGUGACAGAUGACAGAAUUUGUUCUAGCCCCCACCACCGCACUCAUGCCCAUUACGUGGUUCACCAAGUAUUUGGUUGAAAACAUGGGAAAUUUUAUUUCUAACGAUGUGAUGCAUGCUGCUGCAAAUGUUGGUCAAUCUACAUCCUAAAUCUUAAAAGUGAUGUUUUUAAGUGAUGUGGAUAAAAACAGUCUAUGUUAGACAGUUAUGUCUGACUUACACACCGGGAUCAUUCCAGUCAUAAAUCCGGACAUUCAAACGUGUAUUGUCUUGGUCUGAUUUUCAGGUCCAAAGAAUAUGCUGCCUGUUGAAUGUGACAGCCAAUCAGAGAGCAAGGAGACAGAAGUGUGCUUUAUGCUUCUCCUCCACCGUCUUUGUUUACUCCAAUGUCACAGUUGAUCGUGCAAGAUUUCCAUCUGAUCAGAGGAUGUCCAUGCAGUAUAGGAGGGGAGAGGAGAAGAAGUGCAUGAGGGAGUAAAGAUGGAUGCCUGAUUCUGCUACAUGUGACGCAGGUUCGAAUUAAGCUUGGAAAAGUAUUUCUUGCCUACUCUUGAUACUCUCUGAAACAGUUGCCAUUACGCAACGUACAGUGGUGGACCUCUCAUGCUAAAAUUGGAAUAAGUUAAAAAAACCUAAGGCUAAAUCUUAAUUCCCAAAAUCCCAAAUCAUAAUAAUGCAAACAAAACCAAACUACGAAAACUCACAAAAUAGGAAAUAGACUGGAAAUGUCUGAAAAGGUAACCAACGUCUCACCAAAAUAAGCAGAAAAAUCAUUAGAAAGCUCAAGACGUUUGCUCAUCAGCCUUCUCCAGUGUCACUGCUGCAGCAUCCAGUGGUGUUUAGUGUGCUAAUGACGAUACUCAACUGUUUUAUUCAAUUAAUAUACUGUACUAUGCGACCAAAGAGGUGUGGCCAUCCACACAUGCUAUCAAUUUACACACAGAAAAAACCCAACCAUUAAAGGUUCAUCAUGAUGUGACGAAGCCAACAGGAGCAAUUAACUUUUCGUUUGUUUUAGUCACUCGUUUUGCUGCCUUUGCAGUCCCUGCGUGCUCCUUUCAGAGCAGCUCUCAUUAGCUACAUCCAACUCUUCCCCUGGUUUUCUGCAGUGUCCCUGUCCUGGGAAUGGUCUCACACUACUUAACGUUGUCCCCAGGUGUUCCUACCAUACUUCCUCCUGCUUAUUCCGGAUGCACGCAUAAAUAAAGUCCUCUUCCUGGCGCAACACAUCUUAAUUCCCAGAUUUCCACAAGGCAUGCUGUGGCCCUUUCACGGGCUCCACACUUAGCUCUAGUGAGCUUCCUGAGCCGGAUUUAAAAAAUGCCAAGGUUUCACACGUUAUGCUUAACAUUCAGUCUAACAUUAAUGAUGUUCUCCACAAAGGCAUGAGGCUGGAAAAUGUGUGGAAAGCAUUUUUUAAAGGCAAUCAUGAAUCGCGUUUGUGUGGUAAGAAGAAAUAAGGAAUGCCAAAUUUCUGAUAAUUAAUAAUCGCAUUGUAUGAAAUGGCAAAAACAAGCAGUAGCACGCCAAACUGGUAUUGAAAGAGAAAACUGAAUAAUUAAACACUGGUGCCAAGUCACAGAAACAGCAGGCCUUCAUGUUGACCUUAUUCUUUGCUUACAACCGGAGAGAAUACAUGCUUCUCAGUCUUAAAACGACAUUUCCAGUUUUUGUGAAAGUGCCACACAUUUCACACCAUUUCCAAAUUGCCAGUCAUGGGUACAAUGUGAUUUGUUAAAAAAUGUAGCAUUAACUCAAGGCAGAGAAAGAACUUUGCAUAUCUGGAGUGGAAGUUUGUGAUUUUACCCUGAAGUGUAUUCCAUAGUAUUCAUUUGACGGACACGGAAAAAUUCCAAGAAAUGAUCCAAUCCUAAAUAAUAUACCUUAACCAAUAACCAUAUUUAUCUUCAUGUUGUCCAUGAAAAACUGACAAGACAAAAUAAUUUCUAUUGUGUCUGUAGCUUCUGGAACACACAGUUUUCUGUGAACAAUCGUGUUUUUUCUUCGAAAGAGAAACUGAAAGAUUAUGGGUACAGUUUGUACAAGUCUCUCGGCGUAUGUCUUGAUCCUGAUCCUGUAACCAAUAAACCGUCUUUGUGUUCAGAAACAUAGAACUGAGACGAAAGUGUUAAAAGGCUCAAUGGAACACGAAAAAUGUAUCCAGGCUAAAAAUGUUCUUUCUUUGUAUUUUGAUUAGUUGUUCUUUGAGAGGACUCAGUGGCUUGGCGCGGGCAUUUGAGGUUUUUUUGUUAGAGCUAUAUGGGUGGAAAAUAAAAAACUUUAGUUGUUUAUUUAAGAGUUCUUACGUUUUUGUCAAAUUUUUUUCAAAGCAGCAACAGCGGAAACUGACCAAAGUACUUAACACAUGACAUUCGUAGGAAUCAUUGAAACACUAUAAGACCUGUUAGUUUAGUAUAAUUCUCACUCAGCUCCCCAGUCAGACACUUUGCACACCUGCUUCUCAUUAGUUAAUCUCCCCACCUGUUCCUCCUUAAUAAUUACCAUCCCACAGUUUAAGAGCUCCCUGGUUCCUUCAUUCCUUGUCAGAUCCUCCUCUUUUCACGGCUGUUGUAGCAAUCAUUUGCCCUGGGGUUUUAAAGCAUGUAUUUUUGACAAAAACAUGUUAAUUUAAGGUCCUUGUUUUAUAAACCCCCUUUUUUAGCUUGGUUUUUCUCCUGAUUAACCAACACAUGAAAUUAUCUUGCUUUUUUGGUACAAGUUUUAAACAAACAGUGUCUUGUUCUGAGUCACUUAAGUUGAGUAUUAUUCUCAGUUGAGAUUCGAUCAAGGCUCAAGUAUGAAGUAAAAUAAGAAUCCUAAACUGAAGAAAGUUAGGCUAGCUAACCAUUAGCAUUAGUAGCUCUACAACAUGGCAUAACGUCUUCAGGCCUGUUAUUCUUGGCAAUAAAGCAAAUGUUGCAGAGUAAACAGGAAGUGGUUGAGUCGUGUUGCUGUUCUACGAGAUCAGUAAUGAGACUUAUGACUCUUCAAAGGGAGCCAUUCAUGCAAGAGCCGGUUACCUUAAAGAGCAGUUCAAAAGACCAACUCUUUUGAACGGAAUGGAGCGAUCUUCCUGCGGAGAGGGGUUUACGUUAAGCUACGUGUCCCGCCGAUGUCCGUGAGGGUGUGGAAGUGAUGCGUUCUGUCGAAGCCCAUGAGACUGGGGGGUGUUUUAGUGUUAUGCCUAUGGGGGGGGCUUUAUUGCAACACGAGAUGAACGGUUCUACAAGUACUCGGCUCUCAUCAAUCACUUUAAAGAACCAUUUAAAAUAUUGUCUAAAUCCUGCAGUCCGAAGCUCACCUCUGCGGCGGCUCGCUUCUAGUUCCUGCUUUCCCACAGAGAUCAACUCAAAGGCAAUAUUUGUUCAAGAGACCACUGCCAAUUUAUAGAAAAAAACCGAGCGAACCUGGUCUUAAAACACUUUGUGAAGUUUCCGCUGACCUCCAUAAAUUAAA
Molecule: non-coding RNA, 4454 nt
Organism: Nothobranchius furzeri (turquoise killifish)
Lineage: Eukaryota; Metazoa; Chordata; Actinopteri; Cyprinodontiformes; Nothobranchiidae
Source: RefSeq, a predicted model, not a curated record